Molecule: long non-coding RNA, 216 nt
Filed under: Phoenix dactylifera (date palm)
Lineage: Eukaryota; Viridiplantae; Streptophyta; Magnoliopsida; Arecales; Arecaceae
Description: long non-coding RNA (PDAC_LNC013400)
Source: RNAcentral
AUUAUGGACGAUUGAUAGUGCUUCUUUUGAUUAUUUUGGUUCAAGUUGAUGCAGAAUCUGUAGAGAUUAUGGAAGAUUGAAAUUAUUAUUUACAUUUUUAGCUGGCCCAAUUAUUUUGGGUGGUUGUAGUUGCCUCUAUUGUCACAGAAUAUGAAGUUCGUGAUAUUUCGUAUGCUUCCAAAAACUUGAGAGGUGGCAGUUUUAAAAGGUUUUCCC